CUCAUCACGCACAGUCAAACGUGAUGCAGCCCUCCACCUCGAUGAAAGACGUGACAGUGACUCAUGACGCACAGUCAAACCUGAUUCAGCCCUCUACCUCAACGACAGGUGUGAGAGAGACUCAUCACGCACAGUCAAACGUGAUGCAGCCCUCCACCUCAAAGACAAGUGUGACAGUGACUCAUCACGCACAAUCAAACGUGAUGCAGCCCUCCACCUCAACGACAGUGACUCAUCACGCACAGUCAAACGUGAUGCAGCCCUCUACCUCAACGACAAGUGUGACAGUGACUCAUCAUGCACAGUCAAACGUGAUGGAGCCCUCCACCUCAAUGGAGUCCAACUUCAUGGCUGGGGACAAAGGUUUAUCAACGGUGGAGAUGCUCAAGCUGCUUGAGAUGUCUCCUCCCCCCACGCCACAGACUCUGCCGCCCAUCUCUGAAGCAGUUGAAAGUCAAACAACUGAGCCAGACUACCUUACCUGGCUGGAUGACUCAAACACAGUGUCUUUUAUAGAUAUACUUGAGUCUCCUCCCCCACGCCACAGACUCAGCAUCACUCAGCAUCACUCUGCACCGAUUCUGCAUCGAUGUACUCCCCCCUUGCACUGGAUGACAACCAAACUACGGUGUCCAAACUCUUGGCCGGGAUUGAAUAUCCACCUAUGGCAGAGCUGCUUGAGCUGCUAAGUGGCUGAGUCUUGUUUUUGUGAAGGGGCAAAAGGGGAAGAGGGAGAGGGACAGGAGCAAGGCCUCAAAAUGACUGAAGCAUCUGCAUCGACAUCUGGAGAGGUCACAUCGCAAGCGAAGACGAUGUGUGUGAAGCUAGGUUACAUAAGUGUGACAGUGGCUUCUCACACACAGUCAAACGUGAUGCGGCCCUCCACCUCAACGACAGAUGUGACAGUGGCUUCUCACGCACAGUCAAACGUUAUGGAGCCUCAAUGGAGUCCAACGUCAUGGCUGGGGACAGAGAUUUAUCAACGCUGGCGAAUGUUCGAGCUGCUUUAGAUGAUUCCUGUCCCCACGCCACAGACUCAGCUGCCCAUCUCUGAAGCAGUUGAAAGUCAAACAACUGAGCCCGACUACUUUGCCUGGCUGGAAGACUCAAUGGUGGGAGAUUUUCCUCAUCCGAAUCGAGGGUCUAAAUACAGAGAAUGUCGUAUGCUGACUAUGUUUUGUGGUAUUUCAAUAUACAGCAAAUAAAACAAAGAAAACAAA
Molecule: long non-coding RNA, 1220 nt
Organism: Sebastes umbrosus (honeycomb rockfish)
Lineage: Eukaryota; Metazoa; Chordata; Actinopteri; Perciformes; Sebastidae
Exons: 3
Source: RefSeq, a predicted model, not a curated record